UAAUACAGAGGUGGCAAGUGUUGUUCGGAUUUACUGGGCGUAAAGGGCAAGUAGGCGGAAUUGUAAGUCAGAUGUUAAAGGCACCGGCUCAACCGGUGUACGGCAUUUGAUACUGUGAUUCUAGAGUAAGGUGGGGGAAGAUGGAAUUCCUGGUGUAGCGGUGGAAUGCGCAGAUAUCAGGAAAAACACCAGAGGCGAAGGCGAUCUUCUAUACCAUUACUGACGCUAAAUUGCGAAGGUGUGGGUAUCAAACAGGAUUAGAUACCCUGGUAGUCCACACAGUAAACGAUAUACACUAGGUGUUGGGGGAGAUGAUCUUUCAGUGCCGCAGCUAACGCGUUAAGUGUAUCGCCUGGGGAGUACGAUCGCAAGGUUA
Molecule: ribosomal RNA, 376 nt
Filed under: uncultured Spirochaetota bacterium
Lineage: Bacteria; Pseudomonadati; Spirochaetota
Description: bacterial SSU rRNA
Rfam family: Bacterial small subunit ribosomal RNA
Source: RNAcentral